ACUACGGGGUGCAGCAGUGGGGAAUUUUGGACAAUGGGCGCAAGCCUGAUCCAGCUAUUCCGCGUGUGGGAUGAAGGCCCUCGGGUUGUAAACCACUUUUGUAGAGAACGAAAAGACACCUUCGAAUAAAGGGUGUUGCUGAAGGUACUCUAAGAAUAAGAACCGGCUAACUACGUGCCAGCAGCCGCGGUAAUACUUAGGGUGAGAGCGGUAAUCGGAAUUAAUGGGAGUAAAGGGUGCGCAGGCGGUUGAGUAAGACAGAUGUGAAAUCCCCGAGCUUAACUCGGGAAUGGCAUAUGUAACUGCUCUACUAGAGUGUGUCAGAGGUAGAUGGAAUUCGACGUGUAGCAGUGAAAUGCGUAGAUAUGUGGAAGAACACCGAUGGCGAAGGCAGCCUCCUGGAACAUAACUGACGCUCAGGCACGAAAGCGUGGGUAGCAAACAGGAUUAGAUACCCCAGUAGUC
Molecule: ribosomal RNA, 465 nt
Filed under: uncultured bacterium
Lineage: Bacteria
Description: partial 16S ribosomal RNA
Rfam family: Bacterial small subunit ribosomal RNA
Source: RNAcentral